CGGGCCGCCGGGUGUCGGACCUCGAGACUCCCCUGUGUGUCCUGAGGGCGGCGGGAGCCGGCGGCGGGCGUCUGCGAGACCCGUUCUUCCUCUGCUGACCCUGGGCAGGGUCCCCAGCCUCUGAGCCUCUGUUUUCCUCCAAAAAAUGGGAAUAGAAGUGAAGCCAGGCUGUGGCUGCCAUGCCCAUCCACAUUGCCCAGGCUCACUUGAAGUUACCUGUGGCCCUGACACUAAGAAAGGGUCCCUCUGGGUGGAAACAGUGGUUCUCCACACACAGCAAGGUGGUAAACCCACCUUGUUGACGAACACCUUGGACAUCUAGAAAUCAAAGCAGACAAGAAGUCUACAUCCCAGGAGAGACUGUGAUGGGGUGUGAGCUCAGAGUCCUGAGGAUCUCUUGCAACACUGAAGGCAGCCCACAUCCUCAGGGUGUGAGCAGGAACAACAGGGAAUUUCUCCGGAUUGGGGUGGGGGCGGGAGGCAGGAGAGACAUCAAGAACUUGGAAUUAGGAACCCAAAACUCUAGUCUGGAUCCCAGAAGCCCACAUCUGCUAGACCAGGGCAAUCUGACAAAGGACCCUUUGUUGUUUAUUGUGUACAUUUUGACAAUUUUUGUCCAAUAAUAUACUGCACAAAUGAAAACUCAAAUAGCACAGAAGGACUUACAAAGAGCAACCACUCCCUGUCCCACCCCCGUUUCUUCUCUUCUGGCGGUUACCACCAAGGCUUUCCAGGAUGUGCUCACAUUGGCAUUAAUUCAUUGCCAAUUUAGGUAUUAUACAUUGACUUCACGUUUGAGAUCUGAGGGUUCAGCUGGAUGGUACUUAACCACUGCUCCCCACCAGGAACCUCACUACCUUUGGUUUUCCUGUGGUUCCCUUGCAGUUUUGCGUCAUGCAUUCUCACUCCUAUUCCAUCCGGCAUAAGCCAUAUACACCCUGACUCUCAAAUGCAUAAGCUCCUAGGCCCUUUCCCAGAGGGCCUUUCAGUGCCUCACCUGUAGGCUUAGCUCUAAAUGUUAUAAAGCAACCAACAAUGUUUAUCUUCCUAAGAUUAUGAAAAUAUCUUUAUGCACAGCCAGAUAGCAUGCUUUGGUUUCAUUUAUGCUAUUGUACUGUCAUUGCUUUUCCUGGAGUUUCUAAUGUAUUUUAAGGAUUUGCCUUCUUCACAUCAUUUCUUCUUCUUUUUUCCCAAAACUCUGCCAUAUUUGUUCUAUCAGUCCAGUCUUCCUUUCCCCCAGAAACAUCCCCUAGGAGCUCCCCAUGCCCCACUCCCAGCUGCUUCCCAGGCCACACCUCUGUUCUUGAAGGUACCCUGCUACAGGCAGGACCCACUUCCUCUGCUGUCUUCUUUUUUCUUGCUUUGCUUAAGUAAAAACUAAGUAACAUUUAAUGAAAGAAUACUGGCACAUGGGAUUUUUGAAUCUGUACACAUCUGAAAUGUUUUUCAUCUUGCCUUUAUACUUUAUGCUUUGAUAGUUUGGCUGGGUAGAGAAUUCUUGGUUCAAAGUCAUUUUCUUUCAGCAUUUGGAAGACACCACUCCAUCACUUUUUAGCACCCACAGUUAGUACCAAGAGAUCUUACUUCAAACUGAUUCUUAUUUCCAGAAAGAUCUUUUCUACAUCAUUGAUUCUCUGAAAUGUUAGGAAUGUUCAACAUGGGCAGAAAAAGCAGGGAAUUUCCCAGUGGGGAAUUUCCCAGAGUCCUCAGGUGUCUAAGCCUAGGUCUUCUCAUUCAUGACCCUUACAACUCUGGAUUUUUUCAGUCUGAACAGUUUGUUCUUUAAUUCUGGAAAACUCCCAAACUCUCUUUUUUAUAUAAUACCUUCCUUUUAUGGACUCCUAUUAGUCACAUAGCAGGCCUCAUACAUUGUUCCUCCAGGUCUUUUGUUUUUCCUCUUAGACAUCCUAUCUGUUUAUUGUCAUUCUCUUAUCUGGGAAGUUGUUUCAAUUUUAUCUGCCAAUCUUGCACUGAUUUGUUUUUUAAAUCUGCAAUUAUCUUCUAUUUCAACAGCUUUGUCUUAUCCUCUGAUUGUUCCCCCACCCUUUUUAAAAAAAAUCCUUUUCUUGCUUAACAGAAGCAAUAUGGCUUGAAUCUCUGAGAAUACAAAAUAGUGGGGGCUUUUUCAUUUCACACACACACACACACACACACACACACACACACACACACACACACAAGUUGCUCUUUUGUCUUCUGGAUAAGCUCCAUUUGCUUUGGUGUAUUUCUUUCCUUUUGUGUCCUUUCUUUGUUCCUGUUCACACAGCUUGGGCUUUCCAGUCACUGACAGGGCCCACCUCAUCAACUGGUCUCCAUUUACCCAUUCUCCGUUAAGCACAAAGCUGUCUGUAAACUCAGAACAUGUACACGGAGCUUGUUCACUUUGCCAGGCUGGGGAUGGUGGGAGGCAACCAUUAUGUUUUAGGGCCCCUGAAUGCAAGAAGACAGAGCGUGUUGCUUGGGAAACCAGUUCCCACAACUGGCUGAGUUCUUUCCAGACAUUUCACUGAAUGUCUUCAGAAAGCAAUGAUACUUGAGGGAAGGGAAGUGGAUGAGGUUUGGGGGUUUUUUGUGUUUUCUGUUGUUAUUAUUGCUGUUUCUGCUGGGAAAUAAAUUCCCGGGGACAGGAUAGUUUUCCUGGGAGAGAGAAGAGUGACCCUUCGAAAAAUACAGCAUGUCCUGCAAUCAUUUCAAAAUCCCUUACAAUAAGGAGCAGGGAAUUGAGUCAGAUAUUCCUGAGAGGUCAACAAAACCAGUGGAAUUCAAACCCAGGCAGAAAGCCAUUCUGGCCUUCCUAGGUCAUGAUGAUGCUAGUUCCAUAGAUAUUUUUGAUGAGCACAAAACCACAGUGCUUUCCAAUAUACAAAUAUUUUGCAUUCAAACGAAGCAGAACUCUUCAAUCACAUCAAAAUGGGAAUGUCAUUUGUCUUCAGAUGCAUGUUUCUGCCACUCCUGGUUUUCCCUUGCUUCUUGACCACUUCUCAAAUUACAUCUGAAACCAGAUAGUGUGCAAUCUUAAAGGGGGAAAUGCUUUAGUAGUCACCCAGUUUAAGUUUUAAUUUUAGAGAUGAAGAAACUGAAGCCCAAGGAAUUUUUUAAAGUGCAUUAUCAAAGGUCACAUGACCAGCUGGUGGGAGGAAUGCAAAAGGAUAGACAAGUCACAGAGUUGGGACGAGAAGACCUGCGUUUGGAUGGGCCAACCCAGUAUUGGCUGGGAUGUGUUUCUGGUAGAUUAAUUAAUAUAUGAACAUUCCUGAUGGCAGAAAUUUUGGAUGUUCUAAAUCCCAACAGAUUCUGCAGCAUGUCAAAAUUAUCGGAGCAAUACAAGCUUAAUAUUCCAGUUGUCAGGGAAAAUACCCCUGGGCACAUUUGCAUAAAUCCAUUCCAACCUUCAGUGUCUGAAUGUUUAGGUUUAACUUCCACCACCGGUUCACCAACACUCUUCAUGGAGCUCCCAGACCCGGUUGAGAAGUAUCUGGAAAGGGGUCAUAGAUUUGAAGAAUCAUUAUGUUUUAAGAUUCUUAAGAAGCCAUAGAGAUUAUCCAUCCUGAUAUCUUCAUUUUACAAAGGACAAAACAUAUAAAUAGCUUCACCGAAUUCACACAGUGAGCUAAAUGACAGAGGCCAGAGAUACCGUGGAUGGGGCCUUCCCAGGCUGAUACUUUUCCACCCACUCUGCCAGGUCACCAGCAGGAUGCCGUCCACAAGCCAGUCUUGUGGGUUUCAAACCAUAAGAAUCCAGAAUAAAUACUCGCUGAUGCAUUCCCCAGGACUGUUUAUUCCAGAUGCAUGUGGACCACUAAAAAAAAAAAAUGGAACCACAAACAUCUCUGCAUGUUAACAUGCUUCUAAAGGAGACAUGUGGCUGUAUGUUAAUUAAUGAUUUUUAAUAUCAUUCUGGUAGUGAUUAGCUCCUUUGAGUGCUUCUUAAGAUAUUAAAGAUGGAAAUUUCCUCAGACCAGCUGCUUUCAGAAAUUAUUUUCAUACCCUUUUCUCAGAAAUCUACUUCAGAUUCCAAAGCUUU
This is a long non-coding RNA of Manis javanica (Malayan pangolin), 4024 nucleotides long. RefSeq lists it as uncharacterized. The record is from RefSeq and is a predicted model, not a curated record. NCBI's taxonomy places the organism in Eukaryota, Metazoa, Chordata, Mammalia, Pholidota, Manidae.